AAGUCGUAACAAGGUUUCCGUAGGUGAACCUGCGGAAGGAUCAAUGCGAAUCAGACAGGGGAGAGUGAGAUGCGUUGGAAUGUGCACGGAGAGAGACAAGUAUCGACUGUUUUUUUUUUUUGACGAUCUGUAUGACUUGCCACCCGGGAUCUCUGGGCUCUU
Molecule: unclassified non-coding RNA, 162 nt
Filed under: fungal sp.
Lineage: Eukaryota; Fungi
Description: partial internal transcribed spacer region
Rfam family: Eukaryotic small subunit ribosomal RNA (bases 1-46)
Source: RNAcentral